GCAUGUGAGCGGUGAUGGAUUUGUAUGCCGCGGUGGGCUCCCUGCUAUUGUGCAGUUGACCACCGACGCUGCAAGUCUCUUCAAUGGCACUCUGUUUGAAUGGAGAUGCGUGUGUUGCCUGUACAAUCUACCUAGUUCCUUUGGAAAUAGACAUUGUUUACCUUGCUUAUCCACUUCUCUUGUCCUAUAUGAAUGAGAAGUGUCGAUGUCCGUGCACCUUGUGUGUCCUCGAACGAUGGUAUGUCUUAGACCUCUCGUCUCGAGUGGCUCCAGUGUUCACGUGAGUGCUCUUGGAUGCAGUGGAUAAGAAUGUACCAUGGGUCUUUGGACUCUUGGCACAUGAUCGGUUGGCUUUCUUAGUCGCCCUUCGACGGAUGACGGCCUUCCCAUCGUUGCCCCCCUUUCCCUUGUGGUAAUGGGUCGGCAUGUUGGGCUUGGCGUCGUAGAGGACGUGCUACC
This 459-nucleotide unclassified non-coding RNA is filed under the name Musa acuminata subsp. burmannica. Its description in RNAcentral is "partial external transcribed spacer". Lineage: Eukaryota; Viridiplantae; Streptophyta; Magnoliopsida; Zingiberales; Musaceae. The record is from RNAcentral.